RNAcentral lists this ribosomal RNA (567 nucleotides) under Congriscus megastomus. RNAcentral's name for it is "partial 16S ribosomal RNA". It matches the Rfam family "Bacterial large subunit ribosomal RNA", at positions 1908 to 2606 of the family's 2925-position model. Lineage: Eukaryota; Metazoa; Chordata; Actinopteri; Anguilliformes; Congridae. The record is from RNAcentral.
GUGACCACAGUGUUUAACGGCCGCGGUAUCCUGACCGUGCGAAGGUAGCGUAAUCACUUGUCUUUUAAAUGAAGACCUGUAUGAAUGGCAUCACGAAGGUUCAACUGUCUCCUUCCCCCAGUCAAUGAAAUUGAUCUGCCCGUGCAGAAGCGGACAUAAAAACAUAAGACGAGAAGACCCUGUGGAGCUUUAGGCCAAGGAUCAAACAUGUAAAACAGACUCAAACCCUAAAAAGAAUAAUAAAAGUCCAAUAAACCAAGAGUAACCUGAUCCUAAUGCCUUCGGUUGGGGCGACCGCGGGGGAAAAUAAAGCCCCCACAUGGAAUGGAACUACUUCCUAAACCAAGAGUUACAACUCUAAGUAACAGAAUUUCUGACCACCUAUGACCCAGGACAAACAUAAACCUGAUCAAUGAACCAAGUUACCCCAGGGAUAACAGCGCAAUCCUUUCCCAGAGUCCAUAUCGACGAAAGGGUUUACGACCUCGAUGUUGGAUCAGGACAUCCUAAUGGUGCAGCCGCUAUUAAGGGUUCGUUUGUUCAACGAUUAAUAGUCCUACGUGAUCU